This 301-nucleotide ribosomal RNA is filed under the name uncultured bacterium. RNAcentral describes it as "partial 16S ribosomal RNA". It matches the Rfam family "Bacterial small subunit ribosomal RNA", at positions 509 to 807 of the family's 1533-position model. The record is from RNAcentral.
CAGUAGCCGCGGUAAUACGUAGGGUGCAAGCGUUAAUCGGAAUUACUGGGCGUAAAGCGUGCGCAGGCGGUUCGUAAAGAAAGAUGUGAAAUCCCAGGGCUCAACCUUGGAACUGCAUUUUUAACUCCCGAACUAGAGUAUGUCAGAGGGGGGUGGAAUUCCCCGUGUAGCAGUGAAAUGCGUAGAUAUGUGGAGGAACACCGAUGGCGAAGGCAGCCACCUGGGCUAAUACUGGCGCUCAUGCACGAAAGCGUGGGGAGCAAACAGGAUUAGAUACCCGCGUAGUCCCUGUCUCUUAUAC